This 219-nucleotide ribosomal RNA is filed under the name Listeria monocytogenes. RNAcentral describes it as "partial 23S ribosomal RNA". It matches the Rfam family "Bacterial large subunit ribosomal RNA", at positions 1 to 210 of the family's 2925-position model. Lineage: Bacteria; Bacillati; Bacillota; Bacilli; Caryophanales; Listeriaceae. The record is from RNAcentral.
AGUAAAUUGGUUAAGUUAGAAAGGGCGCACGGUGGAUGCCUUGGCACUAGGAGCCGAAGAAGGACGGGACUAACACCGAUAUGCUUUGGGGAGCUGUACGUAAGCGUUGAUCCAGAGAUUUCCGAAUGGGGGAACCCACUAUCUUUAGUCGGAUAGUAUCCUUACGUGAAUACAUAGCGUGAGGAAGGCAGACCCAGGGAACUGAAACAUCUAAGUACC